Peromyscus eremicus (cactus mouse) is the source of this 690-nucleotide long non-coding RNA. RefSeq lists it as uncharacterized. The record is from RefSeq and is a predicted model, not a curated record. Lineage: Eukaryota; Metazoa; Chordata; Mammalia; Rodentia; Cricetidae. The transcript has 2 exons.
CCUUCUUGAUCCUCCAGCAGUUUUUAUUGACCUUGUCCAAGAACUGCAGCUCAUCGUUGUAGUUCCGACUCAUGGUGGCGGCGAAGGCGGCGGCAGCUCGCGACUCGGCUCGGAACGAGAAGCCGCCGCGUUGUCUACCGGCUCCGUGGAGCCGCCUCUGAGGACUCAGGGCGCACGCGCGUCCCGCUCCGCCGCGGGAGGGAGGAAGGCAAGCGCCGAGGCUCAAAACUCGUCGCGCAAAUCGCGGUCCUCUCGUUACGAUGUCUUCUAUGAGCUAAAGCUGAAGCACAUUGUUUUUAGUGAGAUCUAGCUAAACUACCCUUCUGGUAAGGUCUCAGUAUUUAGCCUUGCCGAGCCUGGAACUCACUAUGACUCGCUGGAACAUGCUGGCCUCGAACUUCGUAAGAUCCACUUGCUUAUGCUGCUGCGAAUAAAGGCGUGCUUGGAAAUGUUUUUAAGCAGCCCCCGAAAACCCUUGAAUCUGGAUCAGGUCAACUGCUCUAGAGAAUCCAUAGCUUGUAGUUCACAGCCCCACUACUGAAGCAGUUGAGCUACAAAAAAUACUAAGGAACAGCACAUUUGACUUGCAAUGUUUCAGAAUGGAACUGUGGACACACAACAAACAUUUUCUGUUACAAAUGCCUGCCCUGCAAUGCCCUGCAAAGGUGAAUAAAUUACAGCUGCUGUGAA